CCUCUCACGUCACCCAAACCCUAACAUAACUGACCCAGCCAGCCCCUCGCUCCCCGCGCCGCCGCCCCAUCGUGUCCUGCUCCUCAUGCCGAUGAGGACGACGAGGAUCCGGCGAAUAGGAGGAGAGCGGGAUGUCGAGGCAGCCCCUCGCCGUCGUGCUCACGCACUUCCACCUCGUGUCCCGCUCGAGGAAGACGACGGGAGUGGCAACGAAAAGCACUACAAAGAGGAGGAAUAGAGCGGAGACGAGCGGGAAGAGGACGCCGACCACCAAGCCUCCGAGCAGGAAGACUACACAUGAGAUGAGAUGCUUGCGGAGGCGAGAAAGAUCGAGCGCAACUAUAAAGAACAACAAUGUAGUUUGAGGCUAUCCAUGUAUUUUGGGUCAUUAUCUAAAUGCACAGGUGAUGUAAAUGUAGUAAAAUCCCAUUGACGUAGUCGUCAAGCUAAGGUAUGCACCCAAGCUAAUUUUAAUUCAGAUCAGCAUUACAAUUUCACCCGGUCACA
Triticum aestivum (bread wheat) is the source of this 507-nucleotide long non-coding RNA. RefSeq lists it as uncharacterized. Lineage: Eukaryota; Viridiplantae; Streptophyta; Magnoliopsida; Poales; Poaceae. The record is from RefSeq and is a predicted model, not a curated record. The transcript has 2 exons.